This 119-nucleotide ribosomal RNA is filed under the name Vigna angularis (adzuki bean). Lineage: Eukaryota; Viridiplantae; Streptophyta; Magnoliopsida; Fabales; Fabaceae. The record is from RNAcentral.
AGGUGCGAUCAUACCAGCACUAAUGCACCGGAUCCCAUCAGAACUCCGCAGUUAAGUGUGCUUGGGCGAGAGUAGUACUCGGAUGGGUGACCUCCUGGGAAGUCCUCAUGUUGCUCCUC